AAGCGACGCCGCGUGUGGGAAGAAGGCCUUCGGGUUGUAAACCACUGUCGGGAGUUAGGAAAUGCAGGUGCGUUAAUAGCGCACUUGCUUGACUAAGGCUCCAGAGGAAGCCACGGCUUACUCUGUGCCAGCAGCCGCGGUAAUACAGAGGCGGCAAGGCUUGUUCGGAAUUAUUGGGCGUAAAGAGCACGUAGGCGGCCUUGCAAGUCAGUUGUGAAAGCCUUCCGCUUAACGGAAGAACGGCAUCUGAUACUACAGGGCUUGAGUAGGGAGGGGAGAGUGGAACUUCUGGUGGAGCGGUGAAAUGCGUAGAUAUCAGAAGGAACGCCGGCGGCGAAAGCGACUCUCUGGUCCGAAACUGACGCUGAGUGUGCGAAAGCUAGGGGAGCAAACGGGAUUAGAUACCCCGGUAGUCCUAGCCGUAAACGAUGGGCACUAAGUAGAGGGGUUUU
RNAcentral lists this ribosomal RNA (452 nucleotides) under uncultured anaerobic ammonium-oxidizing bacterium. RNAcentral describes it as "bacterial SSU rRNA". It matches the Rfam family "Bacterial small subunit ribosomal RNA", at positions 389 to 832 of the family's 1533-position model. The record is from RNAcentral.